Molecule: unclassified non-coding RNA, 3217 nt
Filed under: Chelonus insularis
Lineage: Eukaryota; Metazoa; Arthropoda; Insecta; Hymenoptera; Braconidae
Description: e3 ubiquitin-protein ligase CBL-B, transcript variant X2
Source: RNAcentral
UACAAGUAGUGUCGUGAGAUCGCGAUGUCGUUAGUUUAGAAACAGAAUGCGAUAAUGCAUGAUCUUUACAAUACAAGUCUCGCGCGCGAGACCUCGUGAGAACCGUCAAGUAGAGAAUGGUAAUGAGAACGAAUAAAAAAUGUGUUUAUUUAAGUGCAGCGGUGUUACAUAGUAAAAAAGUGAGAAGGUGUAAUAAGUGAAAGUGUGAGUGCAACUGAGAGAGCAAGUAUCGCGUUGAUUACGAUACACAAAUCUCGAGUGAGAUAUUGUGUGAAGUAUUACCGGAGUAUCAUACAUUACAGUGAAGAACUGUGUGUACUUCAAGAUGUCGUCGGGUCAUAGUAGCAGAAGUAGUCGUACUGCACAAAUCAGUUCGAUCCUCCAAAAGCUCCAGGGUCGAUUUAGUGACGCAAUGACACCACCAAAAUUAUCGACAGAUAAACGAAUGCUCGACAAAACAUGGAAGCUUAUGGAUAAAGUUGUUAAACUUUGUCAACAUCAACGAAUGAACCUUAAAAACUCUCCUCCGUUUAUCCUUGAUAUCCUACCGGAUACAUACCAACGAUUGCGAUUAAUAUAUUCUAAGUAUGAAGAUCGUAUGCACGUUCUUCAUAGCAACGAGCAUUUUUGUGUAUUCAUUAAUAACCUCAUGCGAAAAUGCAAGCAAGCCAUUAAAUUAUUUAAAGAAGGCAAGGAAAAAAUGUUCGAUGAGACUUCACAUUAUCGCAGAAACUUGACGAAACUUAGUCUCGUUUUCAGCCACAUGCUCUCUGAGUUGAAGGCCAUCUUCCCAAACGGCGUCUUCGCGGGCGAUCAGUUUCGUAUCACCAAGUCGGACGCUGCAGAAUUCUGGAGAGAGCGCUUCGGUAACAGUACUUUGGUUCCAUGGAAAGUUUUCAGACAUGAAUUGAAUCAAGUUCAUCAAAUAAGUUCUGGACUUCAAGCUAUGGCAUUAAAAUCAACGAUAGACCUCACUUGCAAUGAUUACAUUUCAAACUUCGAAUUCGAUGUAUUUACAAGACUGUUUCAACCAUGGUCAACAUUACUACAAAAUUGGAAAAUUUUGGCUGUUACACAUCCUGGUUAUGUUGCUUUUUUGACAUAUGAUGAAGUUAAAGCUCGUCUACAAAAAAAUUGUAUUACAAAACCUGGAAGCUAUGUCUUUCGAUUGAGUUGUACGAGAUUAGGACAAUGGGCUAUUGGUUAUGUAACUUCAGAUGGUGAUAUUCUUCAAACUAUACCCCACAAUAAAAGCUUAUGCCAAGCAUUAUUAGAUGGUUAUCGAGAAGGCUUCUAUUUAUAUCCAGACGGGCGCAAUAUAAAUCCAGAUUUAACGUGGGCUGUUCAACCAACUCCAGAAGAGCACAUAAAGGUGACAGCUGAGCAGUAUGAAUUAUAUUGCGAAAUGGGUAGUACAUUCCAAUUGUGUAAAAUAUGUGCUGAACAUGACAAAGAUGUGAGAAUAGAGCCUUGUGGACAUCUUCUCUGUACGCCUUGUCUAACAGCUUGGCAGGUAGAUUCUGAAGGUCAAGGAUGUCCUUUUUGUCGUGCAGAGAUAAAAGGAACUGAACAGAUAGUUGUAGAUCCCUUUGAUCCACGACGAACACACAGACCUGGAGCUCAAUCAGCGUCAGCCAGUAAUGCAUCUACUCCUACGCGGGAUCUUGAUCCUGACACCGAGGAUAUUAUGGAAUUAUCCAAUGGUAACUGUGGAUUAAUUUGUGAUGACUCUGAUGAAGAAGAAGAUUCGAGUCCCAUGAAUUCACCAGUUCCAUCGCGACGAAUUGUUCCAAGUCCUCCUUUACCUCCAAGACGACCAUCACCAUCGCCAACUCCAAAUAAUAUUUCUCGAAAUAAUCGUCAUUUAGCUGUACCUAAAGAAAAUGCUCCUCCUCCGCCGCCUGUCACAGUUAUAUUAUCUUCCAAUGAAAAUCAACAAAAUAACAAAGCUGCAACGGAAGCAAGAUAUGAUAUGCUUCACAGAGCAUCAUCUCCUUCACCAGUUCCUCCAGCAGUAAUACGACCACAUGUUCGAUCACACACAAAACCACCAGCAUUACCUGAAAAAGCUAAUCGUCAUUUGCCUUCACAGCCAACCAAUGUGCCUCCAGUACUACCACCGUUAUCCGCACCACGACCUCCAAAAACAACUAAAGAUCUAUCGAAACAGGAUCAUCAUUAUGAAAAUACCAUUUUAAUACAUGGAUCUAAAGAGCAUGUAGUAAAAAAUAUUAAUUUAGAAAUGAAUAGAGCAAAAUUUACGGCGCUAAUGAAAAAUAAAGAUGAACCUGGUGGUUCAGCAACUAAAUCAGAAGCGGCUGCUUACGAAAAUGUUAAUGUUGAACAUAUCUCGAGACUUACUGCUUUAGGCUUUGCUCAAGAUGCUGUUAUUAGAGCUCUGGGAAUUACAAGAAAUGAUUUAGAAAUGGCCUGCGAUAUUCUCAACGAAUUUGCCACUAAAUCUUUUUGACCAGAUACAAACUCUGAUGAUUUAUGACCACCAGUUCCACCUCGGCGGUGUUCAUAGUUAAGAAUUAUCAUUUGGAAAAAUGAAGAACAACUAUGAAUGAAUCAAUUUAUUUGUGCAAUAACUCAAUCAAAAGUAUCAGAAUCAGUGAGAUGAAAAUAAUUUUAAAGUAAUCGAAUUUUAAAAUAAUAAUUAGAGAUCGUUAAAUUCUAGAUGAUAACUUACAAUAAUGAUGCAGCCAUUCGAACAAAAUAAAUCCAACAUGUGUAUAAUAUUAGUUUUAGAUAAUGCAUUGAAAGUUUAACGUUGAAAAAAGCAACGUAGUAUAUCAGCUUUAUUUAAAGAUACCUCUUAAUUGUUUUGUAUAGCAACAAUGAUAUUGUCAGCAAGUAAUAUUAAUUUUAAUGAUGGAAGACAUUGCAUGAUGUUUGUUUAUUUAUUUAUUAUUAGGGUAUGUGUCAAAUGUGAUAUUUAUAUUUAAAAAAAGGAUGAACGAUUUUAAGUAGUUUAUCAGUAAUUUUAUCAUGCGCCAUAUAUAUAAUUUUUCAGAAAUUAAACAAAGAUCGAUUAACGAUAAUAAACGUUUACUUAUAUUAACAAUUCAUAUAAACAGAAUAACAUAUUUAAAAAAUUUCAUUGGAAUGACAAUAGCGGUAUUAUUCAUGAAUGGUAUUUAAAUGUACAAGAUAAUAUUAAUUUAAAAUAAAAUUUAUUAUAGGACUGAUGGAAGUUAAGUGAAUACAAUCUAUU